Non-coding RNA from Anas platyrhynchos (mallard), 1214 nucleotides. NCBI's taxonomy places the organism in Eukaryota, Metazoa, Chordata, Aves, Anseriformes, Anatidae. The record is from RefSeq and is a predicted model, not a curated record.
UAAUGGGCUGCCAGUGAUGGACCAUUAGGGACAAGUCCCUAAGUCAAUACGGGACAGAGACAACAGCAGUAUCAGUUCUCAAAGUACUGGGGACUUUUUGAGACCCAGUCAUGGAAUAACAUGGAAAUCGCAGUUUUCCCCUUCUAUAGAAGUUCUUUGCUGGCCCCUGUGAUUAAAAGGGAAUAAAAACAACUUCAGGACUUGUGGGGAGCAAGGCAGAACUGCUGACUGCUUGAUUUCAAGCAGUUCAUCCAUCGGUAUAGCCUGGUCUAAAAGCACACUGGACAGAUAGCAUUGACCGACCAAGAGGAACCUCAGCCCACCACAGGCACAGCCCAGACUUUUGGGGCAAGGACGGGGAGCAGCAUGGCCUACAGCCAUGGCCAUGCAAUGCAUGACAAUCCCCACCUCUGCAACCUCCUCCUUCCAGAUCCACACCCGAUCCCAGUCCAGGACCAACACCCACCUUGGAGCAAACCACAUCUUGUGCAGCAAUGCAUUUGUUCUGCUCAUCUCUUUGGUAUACGAGCUUAACAUAUAUUAAACUAAUACACCGGAGAAGUUCAAGGAUUAAUGCCAUAUUUAUGUAAACAAUAGCAAGCCUUUUGCAGUGCUAAAUGAAAGCCCAACCACCUGCAGCUAGGUUUAGUUUGGCAGUGCUCUCCAUAAAUAAAUGCACUGCUAGCAUCACAGCUAUGCUUGCUCAGUUUGAUAAUUCAGCCAAUGUUAGACCUUUCAUCAAGCAGUUCAGUGUACGAAUGCUCAUUUUCCCAAAAAUAAUUGGAGCCUUUGGGGUUUCUUUGGAUGGCUUUUCAAUAGACUUAAGCCAUGCUAUGAAUGGGGUAUUAAAGGACAGACCAGUGACAGAAUGAACUCUCCCUUGUAGAUUUAUGGCCAGGAGACACCAAUAAAGAGAGUACAAAGAAAAUUUUUUGUUUGUUUGUUUUUAAAUGGCACUUAAAAAAGACAUAUUUUCCCUGGUGCUCAGGUACUGGACUUAAAUGAGUCAAACAUAAAGAAAAUUCAGAUGAUAACAGUUCGGAGAUUUACAGCAGGCAUCUCCACACUAAGCAACACACUGGGACUCUGACCUUCUGCAAAGGUCUGCAGAGGUCUCCCAAAUUGCUUUCCCCUUCACAUGUUUGAGGGUGCAUUGCUCAACAGCCAGAGGUACUUUUGCUGUGGUUUAUUUUGCUUCCCUGGAACAUGAUCAA